CAUUAGUGAAUUGCUCUCUGACGUUAAACUAUAUCCAUCUACACCUGUGAACUGUUGAUUGACUUCGGUCAAUUACUUUUACAAACAUUGUGUAAUGAACGUCAUGUUAUUAUAACAAAAAUAACUUUCAACAACGGAUCUCUUGGCUCUCGCAUCGAUGAAGAACGCAGCGAAAUGCGAUAAGUAAUGUGAAUUGCAGAAUUCAGUGAAUCAUCGAAUCUUUGAACGCAACUUGCGCUCUCUGGUAUUCCGGAGAGCAUGCCUGUUUGAGUAUCAUGAAAUCUCAACCAUUAGGGUUUCUUAAUGGCUUGGAAUUGGGUGUUGCCAGUCGCCUGGCUCGCCUUAAAAGAGUUAGCGUGUUUAACUUGUCUAUCUGGCGUAAUAAGUUUCGCUGGUGUCGGCUUGAGAAGUACGCUUCUAAUCGUCUUCGGACAAUUCUUGAACUCUGGUCUCAAAUCAGGUAGGGCUACCC
This 472-nucleotide ribosomal RNA is filed under the name uncultured Basidiomycota. RNAcentral describes it as "eukaryotic LSU rRNA". The stretch from base 123 to 276 matches the Rfam family "5.8S ribosomal RNA". The record is from RNAcentral. Lineage: Eukaryota; Fungi; Basidiomycota.